UACGGGGGGAGCAAGCGUUGUUCGGAUUUACUGGGCGUAAAGGGCGCGUAGGCGGCGUAACAAGUCACUUGUGAAAUCUCCGGGCUUAACUCGGAGCGGUCAAGUGAUACUGUUGUGCUAGAGUGCGGAAGGGGCUACUGGAAUUCUCGGUGUAGCGGUGAAAUGCGUAGAUAUCGAGAGGAACACCUGCGGCGAAGGCGGCUCUCUGGGACGGUACUGACGCUGAGACGCGAAAGCGUGGGGAGCGAACAGG
RNAcentral lists this ribosomal RNA (253 nucleotides) under uncultured bacterium. Its description in RNAcentral is "partial 16S ribosomal RNA". It matches the Rfam family "Bacterial small subunit ribosomal RNA", at positions 524 to 776 of the family's 1533-position model. The record is from RNAcentral.